Long non-coding RNA from Eriocheir sinensis (Chinese mitten crab), 321 nucleotides. RefSeq lists it as uncharacterized. Lineage: Eukaryota; Metazoa; Arthropoda; Malacostraca; Decapoda; Varunidae. The transcript has 3 exons. The record is from RefSeq and is a predicted model, not a curated record.
CUUUCAUUACAUUACAUUUUGUAUUGAUUAACAAUAAUUAGUUAAAAUUACCAUGUUUUUACUGCAGGUGCCUCCAGUGGGUGAAAGCCUUGAAAAUUGGCUUUCAAAAGCAUACUCAAGCCAUCUGUAGUGACCACUUUGAUGGGGUUCAUUUUGGCAGCAAGGGCCAGCUGCUGCCGACUGCAACCCCACGUCACACAGAUGGCCAUGAGGAGCAACCACCCACUGGGUUCCCGGCAUCAUCCCACAAUGCAGCCGCCAUUGACUUGGAGCCAAUGGAGUUGGAACUCUCCUCUACACAGAUUGUGCUGCCACAUUAUG